AUACGGAGGAUCCGAGCGUUAUCCGGAUUUAUUGGGUUUAAAGGGUGCGCAGGCGGGAUGUUAAGUCGGCGGUGAAAUUUUGCAGCUCAACUGUAAAAGUGCCUUCGAAACUGUCGGACUUGAGUGUAAAUGAGGUAGGCGGAAUGCGUGGUGUAGCGGUGAAAUGCAUAGAUAUCACGAGGAACUCCGAUUGCGCAGGCAGCUUACUAAACUACUACUGACGCUCAGGCACGAAGGCGUGGGGAUC
Molecule: ribosomal RNA, 247 nt
Filed under: uncultured bacterium
Lineage: Bacteria
Description: partial 16S ribosomal RNA
Rfam family: Bacterial small subunit ribosomal RNA
Source: RNAcentral